This is a long non-coding RNA of Ctenopharyngodon idella (grass carp), 636 nucleotides long. RefSeq lists it as uncharacterized. The record is from RefSeq and is a predicted model, not a curated record. Lineage: Eukaryota; Metazoa; Chordata; Actinopteri; Cypriniformes; Xenocyprididae. The transcript is spliced from 3 exons.
UGCAAAAUAUAGAUGAGUAUCUCACACUACAGUCGAGGCUUCAGCAUAUGUUCACUUUAACUAGUGAAAGAACUCUGUGAAUCUCCAGUGAAGCACAAUCAAUAAUUCAGAAUCUGCAUUUUUUUUUUUUUUAGGGGAAAAGGUGGUGAAAAUGAAACUCUUUCAUUUUCUAGCAGUGAUCUUGUUUUUACUUGACCACGGUGUUCCUGCUCAAUUGCUGGGAGAAGAUGUGACUUUAUAUACUGAUCUGACAGAACCACGUGAUAUGAUUACAUGGUAUUUUAAUGGCAUUCUCAUCGCUCAGAUCAACGGAUAUCUCAGCUAUACCUGUCCAGAUGUUCAGUGUGAUAAUAGUACAGAGACAUUCAGAGACAGAUUGAAGCUGGAUCAACAGACUGGAUCUCUGACCAUCACAAACAGCAGAAUCACCGACUCUGGAGAAUAUAGUGUAGAGAUCAUCAACGACGACAUCUUCACUGAAAGGCUCUUCACUGUUACCGUCACUGGUACUGAAAGAGAAUCAGAUGCUGGAACUGUUGCUAUCGUUGUUGUUUUAGUGAUUGUAAAAGUAUGUUUAAUUGGAGCUCUGUGGUACCGCAGGUGCAGUCGACUUGCACAAGGAAUUCAGAAUGGCAA